RNAcentral lists this long non-coding RNA (1882 nucleotides) under Calidris pygmaea (Spoon-billed sandpiper). RNAcentral describes it as "lncRNA (ENSCPGG00000012010.1)". Lineage: Eukaryota; Metazoa; Chordata; Aves; Charadriiformes; Scolopacidae. The record is from RNAcentral.
GCUGAGCGCGCACUGGGCUCAGCUUUGGUCUGAUAAGUUUAUCAAGCACUGCCGGCUGCUAACUGUCAGUCGGCAAAGCGAGCCUGUUAGGGAGGAGGAACAACUCCCAGGGCAAGAUAGGACAGCCCGUGCCUUAUCGGAGUGCCUGAGCCAAAGAGGGAACUGGAGAGUGAGCACUUUCCAACCACUUCAUCUGAACAACAGACAGAUUGGCAGGAAAGGCCUGUCAGCCCUUCGCUCUGCCACCCAGGCACCAACAGAGAGCCCCCAUCCAUGCAAACCACCCUGGUCACUGCUCAUUUAGACCCUAUGGACAGCUGUCAUCCUGCAUCCCGCCCACCUUUGGGUCUUCGGCUGUGUUCAAGCUGCAUAUAUCAGGGGAUUUUACUGAGAGCUGAACCCAGUGCAAGCCCUGACCCUGUGCUGGGAGGACGUGUUCACACUUGGCUGCCUGGGCACAAGUGCUGUCCCAAGUCCUUCACGGGAUAUGAGGCAGGAAACGUCCUGCAGCAGCGAAGUCAGCCGGGUUAGCUCCAAUGUGAGCUAGUCACUCAAAGGCUUCCUUUCUGGUAAGUAACAUAUCUAGGGAGUUAUUCAGCUCCUGUUAAAGCACAUAUCUAAAAUACGACAGAAGUCAUGCCUUCAACACACCUACUUCUCUCACUGAGGAGAAAGGGAGACAUCUCUAGUAUCUGUAGACAUCUAGAGUUACAUGAGAUGAGUCACACCCCUGUGGUUUCUGCACCACUCUCAGGCCAAGUUUCUCACAGCUGUUUCUGCUCCAACCCAUAAUCUACUCCUCUCCAGACUAUGAGCAACCUCUAAGCCGUUUAAUUCCUCUGUGCAUCAAGAGUUCCUAAGCAAGUUCCAAGUACAACAGCCACAUUUAGCACUGGCAACACAACUCUAAAGUUCAGGGCUUCCUCAUGAAGAAUGAGUUUAAAAACUCUACCCCAUUGAUUCUGCCUUCCUCUUGAAUAAUUUUAAGGCAAUGGGACUUUAUCUUACAUCCCAGGCCCUUCUAUAUCAGAAGCUUUGGUGGGAUUUUUGGCAGUGGUCAAAUCCGCUGGUUUCUUCUCUUUAUAAAAUAGAAGUUAUCUCUUGUCUCAGUUGGGGAAGGGGAAGUCAGAGAUGAUGGAGCAUUCCUGUUCUUGAAAGGGCCCCAUCCUGAGAGUGUGGACAUGGUGAACCAGUGUGUCACUCAGACACCCCUGCCCCAGCUCCUUAUUUAGACCCAGCUUGUAGUAGAUUGACUGUAAAUCAAUCAGGCUCAGUGGACACCACCUAGAAAAGACAGUCCAGGAACCACAGCUACAUUUUCUGACAUUGGAGCAUCAUGGAGAAUGCUCAAUGUAAGACUCAGAGAAGGAUUGUAUUCCUGGUUUUGUCAUUGCCAGCUGACCCAAGCCAGUCAUUAUCCCUCUCUCUGUCUCAGCUUUCCCAUCUGCAAAGCAGGGAUAACACGGACAUGUUCUGAGAUCUACAGUUAAGAGCGAGGUAGAGUUGCUGCACAUGCACUGUCCCCUUAGAGUAGAACAGCACCUAUCAUUGUAAAAAAAUCCCAUAGAAAAUGCAUAAAGCUUCAAAGCAAAGUCUCUGCAUUGUGACAUGCUAACUUGAUAUGCAUUUUUCACUUUAAAAAUAUUUGCCCAAAUUUGAGUAGGACAACUAGAAAUGGAACUUAGGUCACCUGGACUUUCAGUCUUGUUUCUUAACCAACUUUCUAUCUUACUUCAUUGAAGUAUAACUUAAGUAGAACAUCCCAAGUUAAAACUGUUUUUAGGAAAAGUUUACUAUUAGUUACUUACUAUUAGUGAGAUUUUAUUUCUGAGUACUGGAAGAUACUAAUAAAAAUAUGCACAAAACUAAUUUUCUAGGGCUU